CGUAUUGACGUUCAUAAAUCGAAGCGGCUCUUAUGGAAAAUAUAAUAAAAAUCGCUGAUAGUAAAGUAAAUCGCGUCAAUUAUCAAAUAAUAUCGCUAGCUUAAUAUCUGACGAAUAUUUCUAACAUGGCUAGGCUGAAGAAACAUGCGGCAAUCCACGAUAAACAUGGGAAUAAUAAUGAGACAAGUAGCAGUUCGGCAAGCAGUGAGGCUUCAGAUAAAAAAAAGUCUUUUAAGUUCUUUUCUGGAUGGAAGACUGCUGUAGGAGUUAUCUGCUUGUUAGUAGCCAUCUAUGUCGGGACCCUAGGGUACCUGGAAACUCGAGUUAACACCCCAUUUGACGAUGAAAAGGUAGUCCAGGAAUCAGGGCUGAUGGUCCCGGACAGGUACUGGGGAUCGUACCGUCCCGGGGUCUACAUGGGCAUGAAGAGCCGGGAGCCACGGUCGCCCGUGUUCGGCCUCAUGUGGUAUGACUUCACCACCAACAACGGAGUCAGACACUGGUGUGAUCAGAACGACAACCUACCCUCAUACGGGUGGCUGCGGCAUGAUGGCGUCACAUUCGGGGAGCAGAAGAUAGAGGACCCUCCUCAUACGAUCGUGACCUCUUUUGUGAAGACCCCCGGAGGCGACCACGGAGGCCAUUGGACUGUCAGAGUCAAUGUCACUGCUAAGGGUGACAUCAAAAAGCCGUUAAUGCUAGUGUGGUACGGGGCUCUGGACGAGUCCCUGGGGCCGGCGGCGCCGCAGUCUCGGCUGUGGGCCGAGGGCGGAGCGCUACUCGGACACACGCCGCAGCUGCUCAACUUCAGAUUGAAUCUUGUGCCGCUUACAGGCAAGAUAAUCCACCGAUCGUUCUCGGAGGCGCACGCGCCGGGCCUCCACCUACUUAAGGAGAAGUUCAUAUCACUGCUUAAGGCGGAGCGACAUCCCAAGUAUGGUCGUCUGCCUGUACUGGCGCCUGAUGACGAGUUGAAUGAAAAGGACAAAGAAGUUAACUUCGUCUCGAUACAGCUGUUCGUGGAACCCCCAUUCGUUCUGGACGUUGUAUACACGACGGAAGACCUGCCUACUCCGCCAGUGAAAGGGGAUGAGUAUACCAUGGUGUUGGAAGCGAAGAAGAGGUCUUUCGACCAGGAGUUUGAAGAUAAAUUCGGGCUGGCAGCGAAGGGCUACUCACAAGACGACGUGGCGAUAGCGAAGGCGGCCAUGUCAAACAUGAUAGGCGGCAUCGGCUACUUCUACGGGGCGGGCAGGGUGCGGUCGCAGUACACCAGGGAACCAGUGCCUUACUGGCGCGCGCCUCUCUACACGGCCGUGCCUAGCAGAUCAUUCUUCCCCCGCGGCUUCUUAUGGGACGAGGGCUUCCACGGGCUGCUGAUAGGGCGGUGGAGCGCGCACAUCCAGCUGGACAUCGCGGCGCACUGGCUGGACCUCAUCAACGUCGAGGGUUGGAUCCCGCGCGAGCAGAUUCUCGGGGCGGAGGCGCUGGCGAGGGUGCCCAAGGAGUUCGUGGUGCAGAGCAACGCGGCCGCCAACCCGCCGAUGCUGCUGGUGCAGCUGGCGCGGCUGGUGCGCGCGCGGCCGCAGCUGUUCGAGCCGUACUCGCCGCACCGCGCCACCCUCGACAGGAUGUUCACCAGGCUCCAGGCCUGGUACCAGUGGUUCCAGUCGUCGCAGAAGGGAGAGGAGCCCACAUCGUACCGCUGGCGGGGCCGCGAGGACGACGGCGUGCAGCUGAACCCUAAGAGCUUGAGUUCUGGACUCGAUGACUAUCCCAGAGCGUCGCACCCCUCGUACAUAGAGCGGCACGUCGACCUCAGGUGCUGGAUGUACGCGGCGGCCGACGCCAUGGCGACAAUAGCUGAUGUCCUACAGCGGGACCCCAUCAAGUUUGAAGUGCUACGCGACCAGUUGGCAGACGAAGACUUACUCAACGAGCUGCACUGGUCACCCACCACAGAAACUUAUGCUGAUUAUGGACUACAUACAGACGCGGUAAGGCUGGUGAGGCAGCCGCCGAAGAACCCAAAUGAACCAGCCAAGGUGGUGCGCAGUGUCAGCAUGCCCCCAGAGCCGAGGCUCGUCACCUCUGCUUUUGGCUACGUGUCCCUCUUCCCGGUACUGCUGAAGGUCCUCAAGCCCAGUAGCGAGAAGCUCGGCAAGAUAUUAGCCACGCUGGACAAACCCGACCUCCUCUGGUCACCGUAUGGACUUAGGUCCCUAUCAAAGUCGUCGCCACUUUACAUGAAGCGGAACACGAAAGACGACCCGCCAUACUGGCGCGGGCAGGUCUGGAUAAACAUCAACUAUCUCGCUCUAUCCGCACUGAGACACUACGCCGGCCAGGAGGGGCCGCACGCUGUCAGAGCGGGACAGCUGCACGAUAGACUGAGAGAAAAUGUUGUCAAUAAUAUUCUCAACGAGUACAAGCGCACGGGGUACUUCUGGGAACAGUACUCUGGCGAGGACGGGAAAGGUUCCGGCUGCCGGCCCUUCACGGGGUGGACAGCGCUCGUCACGCUGAUAAUGGCUGAGGAGUACUGAACUCCUAUAGAGCUAUGCUCGCCUGGUACUUCCAGUGGCGUGCCGUCCCCGGGAAUGUUCCCACAGUGGGAGUGUUCCCAAAGUGGGAGUGUUCCCAAAGUGGGAGUGUUCCCAAAGUGGGAGUGUUCCCAAAGUGGGAGUGUUCCCAAAGUGGGAGUGUUCCCAAAGUGGGAGGGUUCCCAAAGUGGGAGUGUUCCCAAAGUGGGUGUUCCCAAAGUGGUAGUGUUCCCAAAGUGGGAGUGGUCCCAAAGUGGGAAUGUUCCCAAAGUGGGAAUGUUCUCAAAGUUGUAAAAACUCUUUAAUAGUAAGGCUACUUGACUGCUCUUCAUUUUCAAAUUGUUCUUUCUUGUACUCUGGUCUUAUCUUGAAUUCUAUUAUUGAUAUCACGCGGUCUCUAAGAAUUGUGAUCUCCUUCUUCUUCUUAUCGUGUCGAUGGCAAACUAAAUUGUAUUGUAUCUCCUAUUAACUUUAAAUUCGAUGAGAUUGUCAUGUAAUGUUUACUAUAGAAUUGUUACUAACACGUUGUGGGAGACAUUGCACAUGCAUAGGUCCUUUUUGACCACAUCCGCUCAUCUUGUUUACUCAGUGUCCUAAAAUAAAAGAGUUUUUAAAAAAGGAACAUUCUCACUUUGAGUACGUUCCCAAGUACGGCACAUUGCUGGGAAGUUAAAAUGGCCACAUCGAAGCAAUUCAUCUAAGAAAGCGAUAUUGCAAUUUGACAUUUGCGCAUAUAAAAGUAACUGCGCAAUGCACACAAAUGUCAAAUAGCAAUAUUCUAAGAUGAAUUGCUUCGACGUGGCUAUUUUAACCCCCCCAGAUCUUAAAUGGUAGUGCUAGUUUUUAUGAGUAAUUAUCUGAUACUUAUCUAGAUAAGGUUAACAGACAGUUUAUCAGCAAUUAAAGUAACGAAAUUUACCUUAAGUGUAGAAAUAAUGUGGAGCCUCGUAUCCACUUGGCAACAAUUCGCAACAUUUACGGCAACGUUGCACAACAGCGCGCGACGUUGCCAGCUCAAGCGCGACGUUGCCAGCUCAAGCGCGACGUUGCCAGCUCGAGCGCGACGUUGCCAGCUAGAGCGCGACGUUGCCAGCUCGAGCGCGACGUUGCCAGCUCGAGCGCGACGUUGCCAGCUAGAGCGCGACGUUGCCAGCUCGAGCGCGACGUUGCCAGCUCGAGCGCGACGUUGCCAGCUCGAGCGCAACAUGUUGCGCGGCUUGUUGUUUGUUUAGCGAACAUCGUUAGUUGAGCAUCAAUGGGGAAUGGAUGAAAAAAUUAAAAAGUACUUGAAUAUUUUUCUAUGAGUAGGAAUAACCCUUUUCAUAAAAAUGUUUCAGAUUUAUCGGUUGCGUCAAAUUGUUAUAAAAAAUUAAAACGUUUUUUUCCCGCCAUUAGGUCUAUAGUAAUAGAUAUUUCUGAAUUUGAAUUUAAAUUGUAGCGGACCCAACUAGUUGGCCACCUAGUUCCAGAUGGCGCCACAUUCAAUAAUGCAGACUUCAAGCAGUCGUGAAACGCGAUAUCGAAGUUUACACAGCCAGACGCAUAUAUACAACUUCCAACAUAACACCGUUGGAUCGUCGAUCCCUAGUCACACUACCAACUUGUGGCUAGCGGGGUACCAUGCUCAGUUCGGUACCCCGAAAACAUCCUUUGGCGGCAGCACACCUUCGCCUCUAAAAAAUAUUCAAUAAAGCAAGCAACUGUCCCGUUCCCCUUCCCACCAAAAAGCCACUAAAGUUAUGUUUAUAAUAUGUCACUGUCAGUUGUCAAUGAGCCUUUUUUUAAGUGACAGCCUAUGGACAUCUUUCAUACAGAGUUACAGACGUAGUAACAGGCCUAAUGACGGGAAAAAACAUUUUAUUUUUGUAUGACGAUUCGACGUAACUGAAAAAUCUGAAACAUUAUUAUGUUCAUGAAAAAAGUUAUUCCUACACAUAGAGAAAUAUUCAAAUACUUUUAAUUUUUUCAUCCAUUUUUCAUUGUUGUUGAGUGGAGAUGUAACGCGCAAAAACACUAGAUCUAUAGUAUAGCGACAUGUUGUCGACGACAGACGUGUAUUAGAUGCGCAGACAGACAGCGUUGUUAAACAAAAAUUCCGCGCUAAAAUGUUGCGCAAAAUGUUGAAACGCGGACUAAUACUUACACGCAACAAAGCUCAAUUGUUCAAAUAUAUGUAAAUAUUACAAUUAUUUUGUAGAUUUUACUUUUCACAUAUGGGCUGUGGUCUAUAUAUUUAGUAGAAAACUUAAUGAACAGGGUGUUAGUGACAUUAUAACGAAAAUUUUGACGGAUGAUUCACACCAUGAUUCUGAGUUGACAUCAAGUGGAAUUUUCCGUCGCAAAAUUAGAUUUGAAAAAAUCAUGAAUUGAAAAAAACCACUUGAUGUCAACUCGGAAUCAUGGUCAGAAUCAUCCCCCUCAGUAUUCGUUACGAUGUCACUAACACCCUGUAUGAUAAUGUAAUAUAGUGUUAGAGUGCUCGCCAUUAGAGGGUUUUAAUUUAAUUUAUUAUUAUUUAACGCCAUCUAUAUUCUUUGGUUGGUUUGGACACGUAGAGCGGAUGAAGGAUAAUAGAAUUGCAAAAGCGGUAUAUAAAGCGAAAGUUGAUGGAAGGGCUGGCAGAGGAAGACCGAGAAGGACUUACGAUGACCAAAUUGGAGAUGUCCUUAGAAAAGGUUCAAUACGAUCUACUCUGAACCGGCGUGCGUGUAUGAAGCGAUUGAUGAAUGUGGAGGAAGCAAGAGAAGUGUGUCAGGAUCGAAGCAAAUGGAAUUCUAUAGUCUCUGCUUACCCCGGUGGGAAAUAGGCGUGAGUUUAUGUAUGUAUGUAUGUAUGUAUAUUCUUUGGUGAACAAAGCCUGGAAAGUCCAUCAUUCGGUUUAUUUUAAUGUAUUUUUUAAAGGGUUUUACGCGUAGCCUUUUAAGCCUCUCAUUUUUUUUAUUAUAAAAUCCGACAUUAUCUAAUAGUUCAUUGAAAAAAAUGGCCCGAAGGUCUAUGUAACCAGGCCAGAAAAUUCCAAAAAAAAAUCCAUUGAUAAAAAUGUCCUUCUCAAGGACCAAGUGAGCAUUUUCAAAAAUAAGUGUACCUCCCAUUUUCACGUUGUCCCUUGUGUUUGAAGUCUAAUAACUAGUAAAAUUUACUUCUAGCUAAUUAUUUUAAUUAUUGAGAUACAUUAAAUAUAUUCUAAACUAAUUAAAUUCUAACAAAAUCUUCAUGGUUAUGAGGAAUUAUUUAAAUAAAAUGUAAAUUUUUAUCACUAAGUACUAGAUUUUGCCGUGUCCCCCACUCAAACUGAUAAAUGUUUGAAGAGAUUCUUAAAACUUUUUGUACUAGGGUAUCAUUUGAUGUUUGGUAUUGGUUGAAGUUUUCUAAAGGUUCUCUCAUUUCCAGUAGUUUAUAAUUUAAAUCUUGUGCUUAUUUAAAUAUAGUUCAAUUUUUUCAAAAGUCUUAAAAAGUGUACCGACCGGACAUGUCGGGUUUGUCACGACUAAAACUGCCUAUUGAAAUUAUUUACGGUAGCUAUUUUCGUUUUAAAAUGGCAAAAUUAUCCUUAAUUUACUGGUCGCCAUUUAAAAAAAGACUAGUGACAAAAUAUAUUUCGUGACGCGAGACGUGUUUUCUGGUAUUCCACGGCCGUCAAAAUUUUAUCUGUCGGGUUUGAGACGAUAUAAAAUCAGAUUCAGGCUUAACAAUGCCACUAACUAGUGCAGAACGGUCUCGGAGAUAUAGAGAAAAAAUUAAAAAAGAAAAUCCCGAGAAAUUAAACGCCCAAAGGUUAAAAAAUUUACAAAGAAUAAAAUCGAAGAAGAAAAAAAUAUCUGAAAUGAAUGAAGAAGAAGCUGAAAAAAGAAGACAAGUUUGUUAUUUGUUAAACUAAGUAAUCUUGAUUUUCAAAAAGACUGUUCCCAUUAAGAAUUGAUAAUUAUUUGGCUAAAAACUUAAAAUUUGUGUAAGUAUAUCUUUUAUUUUAUUCACUUACAUUUUUGGGUUCGGUUUUCUCCUGUGUGAGCCCACCCUUAGAAAAAUUCGUAUGUCAGUUUUGCGAUAGUCCCUCAUUUUGCGACAAAGAAAUUCUUAGAUUUUUCUAAUUUUCAAUAUGGAGAGUUGCUAAUAAUUUCUAUUAUUUAUUAAAAUGAUUUUAAUAUUCGGUAUCACAAUAAUUACUUUGUUUAUUAAACUAAUAUUCGAAAUUAAAUCGUAAAUAUAAUGGUUGCCUUGGUAUCAGCUGUGACAAAACCGAACGAAAAACUAGCAUAUUUCGUGUUUUAUAGAUUUUAUGACUAUGUAUAUAUUUUUUUCAUAAAAUAUCUUUGGUAAUCUUCAUAACACAACUAAAAUCAUAUUUACAUCUUUCUUAUAGUUACAGACCAAUUAUUUUUUAAGAUAGUCGCAAAACUGACAUUUUUUUCGCCCGUCGCCCUAUAAUUUAAUAAUUUUUCGUAAAAAAGAUUAAUCUGUUAACAACUUCACAUAAUUUCAUAAACUAUCGCGUAUCUUAAUAAUAUCUAAAUCAAAAUAUCUCCAACAAUGUCAUAUUUUUAAUUAUAGCUAAAAUUCAGACGUGGUACACUUAAUUUUGAAAACGCUCAAGUAUUGUCCUUCUAAGUGGUGGGUUGCCUUAAUAAUUCUAAUGUUGCUAGCGUUAAAUUCCCUAUUUCUAGGUUGUGUAUUUAGUGUCAAUAAAUUUAAACAUCUCUAUAGCGUUAUCAUGUUUUCACAGGGUCCGCUUACCUAACCUGAACUAGUAACCAGGACCAACGGCUUCUUAUGAAGCACGGAUCAUCUUAUUUCGGACAAUCGGGUGAUCGAAUGUCCUAUCCAAAUUUAUGAUUAUGCCCACAAGGAUUCGAACCUGGGAUCUAAAGAUCGUGAGCCCAACACUCAACCACUGAACCACGAAAGUCGUUAAUAACUAAAUCAAGCGUUAUCCCGUUUUCACAGGAUCCGCUUACCUAGCCUGAAGUUUUGACAGGUCCGCUUUUUUACAGAAGCGACUGUCUGUCUAACUUUCUAACCCGCGAAGGGAAAACCAGCCCAAUACAGGUAGGUCAGGUAGGUAGGUAGGUCACAUACCUCCGAAAAGCAUUCCUCGGGAGUGUGGGUUUCCGGCGCAAAAGUAUGGAAUUUAAAUUUUUUAAAAAAGUAACAUUUUAAUGAUCUUUGCGACGGAAAUUUCACUUGAUAUUAGCUCAGAAUCAAGGUUUGAAGCAUCCCCCUCAGGUUUCGUCGCUGUAUAGGCUAUUUGUGUAUGUUUUUAUCUAUGUAGUUAUAUAUCAAACAACUGUUGAGCAUUUAUUUAUAAUAAUUAACUUAAUACAAUGUACAUAAACAAUAGUUAUAUUCCAGUACAGACUUUAUUUUAAGUUAUACCUGUCACUUUCUUAUCCGCCAAAAAGGAAAGGGACGGAUCUGCAGGAAUCAUGGCCAAUUUCUUGUUAAUAAAAUGACAAUUGAAAUAUUA
RNAcentral lists this unclassified non-coding RNA (8004 nucleotides) under Pectinophora gossypiella (pink bollworm). RNAcentral's name for it is "mannosyl-oligosaccharide glucosidase". Lineage: Eukaryota; Metazoa; Arthropoda; Insecta; Lepidoptera; Gelechiidae. The record is from RNAcentral.